UGAAAUUUGAAAAAAAAGGAACUCUAAUGUUUGUAAGCGUUCUGCAGCUGCUCUCUGCACCUCUAAAUAAACAAAUUCAAUCAACUCAACAAGUAGUGGGAUACCACCUUCAAUGCCAUAAUCACAAAAUAUAGAUGAAGAGGAUGGUGUGUGCCUUUUCAGGAGACUUAAAGGAUGAAGAAAAACUCCAUCAUCAACAAUCAAUUGUUUGUGUUCUACAUGGCUUGGCAUCUUUGUGAUACAGAAGCCGAGAGGGUAUUACAAAGGUUAGAUACAACAUGAUGUAGUUUCAGCUCACCCGACAUAUGAACAUAGAUAACAGAUUAUGGACAACUCGAAUUAGGAUAAAAGAUUUACAGGGAAAUGGAGGUGAUCAAAUUUGAAGGAUCGCCACAAGUCAAUUUGAUCUUAUUAAAGUGGAUAAUGAAGAGUUUUUGAACUAUUGUAAAAGUUUGAGUACAUUAUCUUUGAUUUUGUGCAAUAUAUUCAUUGCUAGAAUUAAUUGAACUAUUGUAAGAAUACUUUUUGUACUAUUAUUUAGACAUAUUUAGAUUAUUAAUUUAUAGGUAUGUGCAUGU
This is a long non-coding RNA of Solanum lycopersicum (tomato), 578 nucleotides long. RefSeq lists it as uncharacterized. The record is from RefSeq and is a predicted model, not a curated record. Lineage: Eukaryota; Viridiplantae; Streptophyta; Magnoliopsida; Solanales; Solanaceae.